This 519-nucleotide ribosomal RNA is filed under the name Blastocystis sp. Its description in RNAcentral is "SSU rRNA". It matches the Rfam family "Eukaryotic small subunit ribosomal RNA", at positions 40 to 581 of the family's 1831-position model. The record is from RNAcentral. Lineage: Eukaryota; Bigyra; Opalinata; Blastocystidae.
AAGAUUAAGCCAUGCAUGUGUAAGUAUAAAUAAUUUUACUUUGAAACUGCGAAUGGCUCAUUAUAUCAGUUAUAGUUUAUUAGAAAUAGUGUACUACUUGGAUAACCGUAGUAAUUUAGGGCUAAUACAUGAGUAAAUCCUCGACUUGAAGAGGUGUGUUUAUUAGUAUGAAAACCAUAUGGUUUUGCCUGAUUGUGAGUAAUAAUAACCUUUCAUAUUGCCUGUUUUAAAGCGAGAGUUCUUUCAAGUUUCUGCCUAUCAGCUUUCGAUGGUAGUGUAUUGGACUACCAUGGCAGUAACGGGUAACGAAGAAUUUGGGUUCGAUUUCGGAGAGGAGCCUGAGAGAUGGCUACCACAUCCAAGGAAGGCAGCAGGCGCGUAAAUUACCAAUCCUGACAUAGGGAGGUAGUGACAAUAAAUCAAUGCGGGACUAUUUAGUUUUGCAAUUGGAUUGAGAACAAUGUACAAGAGUUAUCGAUAAACAAUUGGAGGGCAAGUCUGGUGCCAGCAGCCGCGGUA